GUGCAUCGGUGAAGAUUGUAGCGCAAGAUGUGAAGGCAUGGCGUGUGAAGCCAGAUGCUUAGGAAACGACUGUGAAGCUGGGUGUCGCAGUUUCUCUUGCAAGUAUCUAGUGAAUGGAGAUUUCAAAGAAGGUGGCGAAACCUGGUCAGAACAUUAUCCCCAAUACGAUAACGCGCCAAUGAAACAAGAAAACCACUACUACUAAUAUAUCGCA
Long non-coding RNA from Pieris napi, 214 nucleotides. RefSeq lists it as uncharacterized. The record is from RefSeq and is a predicted model, not a curated record. Lineage: Eukaryota; Metazoa; Arthropoda; Insecta; Lepidoptera; Pieridae. The transcript has 4 exons.